UUAAGUUAGAAAGGGCGCACGGUGGAUGCCUUGACACUAGGAGUCGAUGAAGGACGGGACUAACGCCGAUAUGCUUCGGGGAGCUGUAAGUAAGCUUUGAUCCGAAGAUUUCCGAAUGGGGAAACCCACCAUACGUAAUGGUAUGGUAUCCUUAUCUGAAUACAUAGGAUAAGGAAGACAGACCCAGGGAACUGAAACAUCUAAGUACCUGGAGGAAGAGAAAGCAAAUGCGAUUUCCUGAGUAGCGGCGAGCGAAACGGAACAUAGCCCAAACCAAGAGGCUUGCCUCUUGGGGUUGUAGGACAUUCUAUACGGAGUUACAAAGGAACGUAGGUAGACGAAGCGACCUGGAAAGGUCCGUCGUAGAGGGUAACAACCCCGUAGUCGAAACUUCGUUCUCUCUUGAAUGUAUCCUGAGUACGGCGGAACACGUGAAAUUCCGUCGGAAUCUGGGAGGACCAUCUCCCAAGGCUAAAUACUCCCUAGUGAUCGAUAGUGAACCAGUACCGUGAGGGAAAGGUGAAAAGCACCCCGGAAGGGGAGUGAAAGAGAUCCUGAAACCGUGUGCCUACAAAUAGUCAGAGCCCGUUAACGGGUGAUGGCGUGCCUUUUGUAGAAUGAACUGGCGAGUUACGAUCCCGUGCGAGGUUAAGCUGAAGAGGCGGAGCCGCAGCGAAAGCGAGUCUGAAUAGGGCGUUUAGUACGUGGUCGUAGACCCGAAACCAGGUGAUCUACCCAUGUCCAGGGUGAAGUUCAGGUAACACUGAAUGGAGGCCCGAACCCACGACGUUGAAAAGUGCGGGGAUGAGGUGUGGGUAGCGGAGAAAUUCCAAUCGAACCUGGAGAUAGCUGGUUCUCCCCGAAAUAGCUUUAGGGCUAGCCUUAAGUGUAAGAGUCUUGGAGGUAGAGCACUGAUUGGACUAGGGUCCUCAUCGGAUUACCGAAUUCAGUCAAACUCCGAAUGCCAAUGACUUAUCCUUAGGAGUCAGACUGCGAGUGAUAAGAUCCGUAGUCAAAAGGGAAACAGCCCAGACCGCCAGCUAAGGUCCCAAAGUGUGUAUUAAGUGGAAAGGAUGUGGAGUUGCCUAGACAACUAGGAUGUUGGCUUAGAAGCAGCCACCAUUUUAAAGAGUGCGUAAUAGCUCACUAGUCGAGUGACUCUGCGCCGAAAAUGUACCGGGGCUAAAUACACCACCGAAGCUGCGGAUUGAUACCAAUGGUAUCAGUGGUAGGGGAGCGUUCUAAGGACAGUGAAGUCAGACCGGAAGGACUGGUGGAGUGCUUAGAAGUGAGAAUGCCGGUAUGAGUAGCGAAAGACGGGUGAGAAUCCCGUCCACCGAAUGCCUAAGGUUUCCUGAGGAAGGCUCGUCCGCUCAGGGUUAGUCAGGACCUAAGCCGAGGCCGACAGGCGUAGGCGAUGGACAACAGGUUGAUAUUCCUGUACCACCUCUUUAUCGUUUGAGCAAUGGAGGGACGCAGAAGGAUAGAAGAAGCGUGCGAUUGGUUGUGCACGUCCAAGCAGUUAGGCUGAUAAGUAGGCAAAUCCGCUUAUCGUGAAGGCUGAGCUGUGAUGGGGAAGCUCCUUAUGGAGCGAAGUCUUUGAUUCCCCGCUGCCAAGAAAAGCUUCUAGCGAGAUAAAAGGUGCCUGUACCGCAAACCGACACAGGUAGGCGAGGAGAGAAUCCUAAGGUGUGCGAGAGAACUCUGGUUAAGGAACUCGGCAAAAUGACCCCGUAACUUCGGGAGAAGGGGUGCUUUCUUAACGGAAAGCCGCAGUGAAUAGGCCCAAGCGACUGUUUAGCAAAAACACAGCUCUCUGCGAAGCCGUAAGGCGAAGUAUAGGGGGUGACACCUGCCCGGUGCUGGAAGGUUAAGGAGAGGGGUUAGCGUAAGCGAAGCUCUGAACUGAAGCCCCAGUAAACGGCGGCCGUAACUAUAACGGUCCUAAGGUAGCGAAAUUCCUUGUCGGGUAAGUUCCGACCCGCACGAAAGGUGUAACGAUUUGGGCACUGUCUCAACCAGAGACUCGGUGAAAUUAUAGUACCUGUGAAGAUGCAGGUUACCCGCGACAGGACGGAAAGACCCCGUGGAGCUUUACUGUAGCCUGAUAUUGAAUUUUGGUACAGUUUGUACAGGAUAGGCGGGAGCCUUUGAAACCGGAGCGCUAGCUUCGGUGGAGGCGCUGGUGGGAUACCGCCCUGACUGUAUUGAAAUUCUAACCUACGGGUCUUAUCGACCCGGGAGACAGUGUCAGGUGGGCAGUUUGACUGGGGCGGUCGCCUCCUAAAGUGUAACGGAGGCGCCCAAAGGUUCCCUCAGAAUGGUUGGAAAUCAUUCGUAGAGUGCAAAGGCAUAAGGGAGCUUGACUGCGAGACCUACAAGUCGAGCAGGGACGAAAGUCGGGCUUAGUGAUCCGGUGGUUCCGCAUGGAAGGGCCAUCGCUCAACGGAUAAAAGCUACCCCGGGGAUAACAGGCUUAUCUCCCCCAAGAGUCCACAUCGACGGGGAGGUUUGGCACCUCGAUGUCGGCUCAUCGCAUCCUGGGGCUGUAGUCGGUCCCAAGGGUUGGGCUGUUCGCCCAUUAAAGCGGUACGCGAGCUGGGUUCAGAACGUCGUGAGACAGUUCGGUCCCUAUCCGUCGUGGGCGUAGGAAAUUUGAGAGGAGCUGUCCUUAGUACGAGAGGACCGGGAUGGACGCACCGCUGGUGUACCAGUUGUUCUGCCAAGGGCAUAGCUGGGUAGCUAUGUGCGGAAGGGAUAAGUGCUGAAAGCAUCUAAGCAUGAAGCCCCCCUCAAGAUGAGAUUUCCCAUAGCGUAAGCUAGUAAGAUCCCUGAAAGAAUGAUCAGGUUGAUAGGUUCGAGGUGGAAGCAUGGUGACAUGUGGAGCUGACGAAUACUAAUAGAUCGAGGACUUAACCAU
This 2920-nucleotide ribosomal RNA is filed under the name Bacillus anthracis (anthrax bacterium). RNAcentral describes it as "bacterial LSU rRNA". It matches the Rfam family "Bacterial large subunit ribosomal RNA". The record is from RNAcentral. Lineage: Bacteria; Bacillati; Bacillota; Bacilli; Caryophanales; Bacillaceae.